GGGGGAAGGCCUUGUAUGCCCUUUGGUCUGAGGCACUGGGCCCUUGACGGUGCUCAGGCCAUUCAUACAGGGGUGCUUUCCUUCCUCACAACCAUCAAAUCAAAUUUUAUCAAGUGUGUGAUUCCCAGUCUCUAUCUGCUUUAUCACCGAAAGAGACAAAGUCUUGUUAUGUACCUCAGUCUGGCCUGGAAUAUUCUGUUACUGACAUUGACCUUAAACGUGAGGUCUCGCUGCCAUAGCUCCCAGACUGCUGGAAU
Molecule: long non-coding RNA, 257 nt
Filed under: Cricetulus griseus (Chinese hamster)
Lineage: Eukaryota; Metazoa; Chordata; Mammalia; Rodentia; Cricetidae
Description: lncRNA (ENSCGRG00015042036.1)
Source: RNAcentral